Molecule: ribosomal RNA, 429 nt
Filed under: bacterium
Lineage: Bacteria
Description: partial 16S ribosomal RNA
Rfam family: Bacterial small subunit ribosomal RNA
Source: RNAcentral
UAGGGAAUCUUCGGCAAUGGGGGCAACCCUGACCGAGCAACGCCGCGUGAGUGAAGAAGGUUUUCGGAUCGUAAAGCUCUGUUGUAAGAGAAGAACGUGUGUGAGAGUGGAAAGUUCACACAGUGACGGUAACUUACCAGAAAGGGACGGCUAACUACGUGCCAGCAGCCGCGGUAAUACGGAGGUCCCGAGCGUUGUCCGGAUUUAUUGGGCGUAAAGCGAGCGCAGGCGGUUUAAUAAGUCUGAAGUUAAAGGCAGUGGCUUAACCAUUGUUCGCUUUGGAAACUGUUAAACUUGAGUGCAGAAGGGGAGAGUGGAAUUCCAUGUGUAGCGGUGAAAUGCGUAGAUAUAUGGAGGAACACCGGUGGCGAAAGCGGCUCUCUGGUCUGUAACUGACGCUGAGGCUCGAAAGCGUGGGGAGCAAACAGG